Molecule: ribosomal RNA, 253 nt
Filed under: uncultured bacterium
Lineage: Bacteria
Description: partial 16S ribosomal RNA
Rfam family: Bacterial small subunit ribosomal RNA
Source: RNAcentral
UACAGAGGUCUCAAGCGUUGUUCGGAUUCAUUGGGCGUAAAGGGUGCGUAGGUGGCGGGGUAAGUCAGAUGUGAAAUCUCGGAGCUCAACUCCGAAACUGCAUUUGAUACUGCCUUGCUUGAGUACUGGAGAGGAGACUGGAAUUUACGGUGUAGCGGUGAAAUGCGUAGAUAUCGUAAGGAAGACCAGUGGCGAAGGCGGGUCUCUGGACAGUUCCUGACGCUGAGGCACGAAGGCCAGGGGAGCAAACGGG